Molecule: unclassified non-coding RNA, 328 nt
Filed under: soil metagenome
Description: partial contains 5.8S ribosomal RNA, internal transcribed spacer 2, and large subunit ribosomal RNA
Rfam family: 5.8S ribosomal RNA (bases 1-120)
Source: RNAcentral
GAUGAAGAACGUAGCGAAAUGCGAUAAGUAAUGUGAAUUGCAGAAUUCAGUGAAUCAUCGAAUCUUUGAACGCACAUUGCGCCCCCUGGUAUUCCGGGGGGCAUGCCUGUCCGAGCGUCAUUACAACCCUCAAGCUCAGCUUGGUGUUGGGCCCCGCCGCCCCGGCGGGCCCUAAAGUCAGUGGCGGUGCCGUCCGGCUCCGAGCGUAGUAAUUCUUCUCGCUCUGGAGGUCCGGUCGUGUGCUCGCCAGCAACCCCCAAUUCCAAAAGUUUGACCUCGGAUCAGGUAGGGAUACCCGCUGAACUUAAGCAUAUCAAUAAGCGGAGGA